Molecule: ribosomal RNA, 253 nt
Filed under: uncultured bacterium
Lineage: Bacteria
Description: partial 16S ribosomal RNA
Rfam family: Bacterial small subunit ribosomal RNA
Source: RNAcentral
UACGAAGGGUGCAAGCGUUACUCGGAAUUACUGGGCGUAAAGCGUGCGUAGGUGGUGAGUUAAGUCUGUCGUGAAAGCCCCGGGCUCAACCUGGGAACUGCAUUUGAAACUGGCGGGCUUGAGUAUGGCAGAGGGGGGUGGAAUUCCGCGUGUAGCAGUGAAAUGCGUAGAGAUGCGGAGGAACACCGAUGGCGAAGGCAGCCCCCUGGGCCAAUACUGACGCUCAGGCACGAAAGCGUGGGGAGCAAACAGG